Molecule: unclassified non-coding RNA, 240 nt
Filed under: soil metagenome
Description: partial contains 5.8S ribosomal RNA, internal transcribed spacer 2, and large subunit ribosomal RNA
Source: RNAcentral
AACUGAUACUACCUGCGGGAACCUGCGGAAGGAUCAUUAAUGAGAAACUGCCCCUCGCGGGUAGAUCUCCCACCCUUUGUAAACUUACCUUUGUUGCUUUGGCAGGCCCGUCUCCGGACCGCCGGCUUCGGCUGGCCAGUGCCUGCCAGAGGAUUCUAAAACUCUGUCUGUCAGUGUUUGAGAGUCUAUAUACAAUCGUUAAAACUUUUAACAACGGAUCUCUAGAUCGGAAGAGCACAC